AUUGAACGCUGGCGGCAUGCCUUACACAUGCAAGUCGAACGGCAGCACGGGAGCAAUCCUGGUGGCGAGUGGCGAACGGGUGAGUAAUAUAUCGGAACGUGCCCAGUCGUGGGGAUAACGUAGCGAAAGCUACGCUAAUACCGCAUACGAUCUACGGAUGAAAGCGGGGGAUCGCAAGACCUCGCGCGAUUGGAGCGGCCGAUAUCAGAUUAGGUAGUUGGUGAGGUAAAGGCUCACCAAGCCGACGAUCUGUAGCUGGUCUGAGAGGACGACCAGCCACACUGGGACUGAGACACGGCCCAGACUCCUACGGGAGGCAGCAGUGGGAAUAUUGGACAAUGGGCGAAAGCCUGAUCCAGCCAUGCCGCGUGUGUGAAGAAGGUCUUCGGAUUGUAAAGCACUUUAAGU
This 408-nucleotide ribosomal RNA is filed under the name uncultured bacterium. Its description in RNAcentral is "bacterial SSU rRNA". It matches the Rfam family "Bacterial small subunit ribosomal RNA", at positions 30 to 440 of the family's 1533-position model. The record is from RNAcentral.